GACGAACGCUGGCGGCGUGCUUAACACAUGCAAGUCGAACGGUAAGGCCCUUCGGGGUACACGAGUGGCGAACGGGUGAGUAACACGUGGGUGAUCUGCCCUGCACUUCGGGAUAAGCCUGGGAAACUGGGUCUAAUACCGGAUAGGACUCCGGACUGCAUGGUCUGGGGUGGAAAGCUUUUGCGGUGUGGGAUGGGCCCGCGGCCUAUCAGCUUGUUGGUGGGGUGAUGGCCUACCAAGGCGACGACGGGUAGCCGGCCUGAGAGGGUGACCGGCCACACUGGGACUGAGAUACGGCCCAGACUCCUACGGGAGGCAGCAGUGGGGAAUAGUGCACAAUGGGCGCAAGACUGAUGCAGCGACGCAGCGUGAGGGAUGACGGCCUUCGGGUUGUAAACCUCUUUCAGCAUCGACGAAGCGAAAGUGACGGUAGGUGCAGAAGCAGGACCGGCCAACUACGUGCCAGCCGCCGCAGUAA
This 478-nucleotide ribosomal RNA is filed under the name uncultured bacterium. Its description in RNAcentral is "partial 16S ribosomal RNA". It matches the Rfam family "Bacterial small subunit ribosomal RNA", at positions 28 to 523 of the family's 1533-position model. The record is from RNAcentral.